Molecule: non-coding RNA, 26 nt
Filed under: Mus musculus (house mouse)
Lineage: Eukaryota; Metazoa; Chordata; Mammalia; Rodentia; Muridae
Source: RNAcentral
UAAUAGCAGUAACUGUUUUGGUCACC